Molecule: ribosomal RNA, 497 nt
Filed under: uncultured bacterium
Lineage: Bacteria
Description: partial 16S ribosomal RNA
Rfam family: Bacterial small subunit ribosomal RNA
Source: RNAcentral
GAUGAACGCUGGCGGCGUGCCUAAUACAUGCAAGUCGAGCGAACAGACGAGGAGCUUGCUCCUCUGACGUUAGCGGCGGACGGGUGAGUAACACGUGGAUAACCCACCUAUAAGACUGGGAUCACUUCGGGAAACCGGAGAUAAUACCGGAUAAUAUAUUGAACCGCAUGGUUCAAUAGUGAAAGACGGUUUUGCUGUAUCUUCUAGAUGGAUCCCAGCCGCAUGAGCUAGUUGGUAAGUUAAAGGCUUUCCAAGGCGACGAUGCGUAACCGACCUGAGAGGGUGAUAGGCCACACGGGAACGUGGACACGGUCCAGGCUCCUACGGGAGGCAGCAGUAGGGAAUCGUCCGCAAUGGGCGAAAGCCUGACGGAGCAACGCCGCGUGAGUGAUGAAGGUCUUCGGAUCGUAAAACUCUGUUAUUAGGGAAAAACAAAUGUGUAAGUAACUAUGCACGGCUUGACGGUACCUAAUCAGAAAGCCACGGCUAACUACGUG